Non-coding RNA from Callithrix jacchus (white-tufted-ear marmoset), 4668 nucleotides. The record is from RefSeq and is a predicted model, not a curated record. NCBI's taxonomy places the organism in Eukaryota, Metazoa, Chordata, Mammalia, Primates, Cebidae.
UUACCGGGGCACGCCUGCAACCCCAGGGCUCUGGGAGGCCCAGGUGGUACUCAAGGCCAGCCUGGGCGACGUAGCCACUCCAUCUCUAAUUUUUUUUUUUAAGUUAAGAGAUUGUAUUCUCACUGCUUCCUGCUCCUUGGUCAACCAGUACAAUUUCCCUCUCUGUUUUUCUUUUUCCAAAACGCGGGUCAGCACAGUGAUUGAACCUGUCAUUACUGUCUCCUCUGCUUCCACUCCAGCUAGAAUGCUGCAUCCCUGCACAGCUCCUGGCAGGUAGCAUGGCAAGUCACCUAAUACAAUUGAAAAGACAGAUGAUUUCGACUUGGGAAAAUAACUUGAUGGAAGGUGAAGAAAUGGACAUUGGUCCAGACAUGGACACACCUUUGGUCUGGAGAAAGUGAUGAGGGAAAUGAUCAACAGCCAUUAAGCAGAGAGGACUCUGGAAUUCAGGGAGACAGGACACCGUUAGAAGAACAAGAUCAAAACAGAAAACUGGGUUCUUGCAUCAGUUGGAAAGGUACUGUGUAUUGUGAGGUGCUGGCAUUUUCUAAUAGACAAAUUCCCCAGAAGAAAAGGCAAGCUUGAGAUCAGUUCAAUACGAUCAAGGUAACAACUAAGCGGUAUCAUCUUUAUAAAACCAAUUUUUAAAACUAUUAGUAAUCUUUUCUAUGUGAUGCUUAAGUAGUAGUACUAUAUAAUCAAUGUUGAACUAAUGCAUGCAGAGUGUAAUUUUGUAAUUUUUUUCCUAUAGUUCUGAGAUUUUUUUAUUGGAGAAGGGCCGAUUUUGCUAAGACUGUGCCACUACACUCCAGCAAUAGAGCGAGACAUUGUCUCAAAAAAAAUUAAAUUAAAAACUAUAAGGGAGGAUAUGCAUAGAUUAUAUGCAAACACUAUGCCAUUUUUUUAUCAGGGACUUGAUCACCUACAGAUUUUGGUGUCUGCAGCAUUCCUGCAAUCAAUCCCUGGUGGAUAUUGAAGGACAGCUGUAUUUAUUCCAGACUUUCUAAUCUGUGCUCUUGGUGUCAGUGUGACCUGGAAACAGACAGACUAUUAUUUUUGUGGCUUUAUAAUAUUAUGUUUUAAUACGUAGAUCACAGGUUUCCUCUCAGCUGCUUGGGAGGCUGAAGCAGAAGAAUCACUUUGCUCUGUUUUUCUUUCUUUUUUCCUUUCUUUUGUUUUUCUGGUGACAGGGUCUCACUCUGUUGCCCAGGGUAGAGUGCAGUGGCACAAUCUUAGCUCACUGCAACCUUUGCCUCCUGGGCUUAAGCAGUCCUCCCACCUCAGCCUCCUAAGUAGCUGGAACCUCAGGCGAGUGCCACCCCACCAAGAUAUUUUUUGUAGACAGGGUUUCACCAUGUUGCCCAGGGUAGUCUCAAACUCCUAGACUCAAGCAAUUCACACGCCUCUGCCUCCCAAAGUGCUGGGAUUACAGGUGUCAGCUACUGUGCCCAGCACACUUUGCUUUUUUUUCUCCCCUUUCAGCUUCCCCAAGUAGCUGGGAUUACAGACAUACACCACCACACUCAGCUAAUUUUUGUAUUAGUAAAGAUGGGGUUUCACCAUGUUGGCCAGGCUGGUUGGUCUCAAAUUUCUGACCUCAACUGAUCUACCCGCCUCUGCCUCCCAAAGUGUGGGGAUUACAGGUGCCAACCACUGCACCCAGCCCACUUUGUUCUUUCUCAAAAUUGACUUAGCUAUUUGCAAACUCUUAUUCUUCUGUAGACCUUUUAGAAGCAAGAUGGUAACUUAAUAAAAAAAAGGCCCACCUGGCUCCUGCCUGUAACCCCACCAUGAAGGUGGGUGGAUCACUUGAGGUCAGGAGUUUGAGACCAGCCUGACCAACAGAGUGAAACUACAUGUCUACUAAAUAUGCAAAAUUAGUUGUACAUGGUGGUGCAUACCUGUAAUAACAGCUACUUGGGAGGCUGAGGCAGGAGAAUCACUUAAACCAGGCAAGGCAGAUGAUGUAGUGAGCCAAGAUCGUGCCAUUAUUCUCAUCCUGGGCUACAAGAGCAAAACUGCAUCUCAAAAAAAAAAAAAUCCAGCUGGAAUUUGUAUUGGGAGAUCAGAGAAUUUAUAGAUCUAACUUGGGGAGGUUUGAUUGCCUUAACAUGUUAAUAUCUACAUUUAUUGUAACUCUUUAUCUUUUACUAGAUUUUGGAAAUUUUCUUUUUGAAGAUCUUGAGGGUUCUUUUGUUAAUUUCUACAUCUGUUACAGUUUUUAUUUUUCUGAAUGAUACUUUUGUUUAUUCCUGAUGUAGAGGAAAUAAUACUGGUUUUCUUAUGUGCAGCUUUUUUGUUGAACUCUGAUAUGAAUCAUAAUACUUCUGUUGAUUUCAUUUGGUUUCUUAUAUAGAUGAUUAGUGUCAUCUGCAAAUACUGGUUUUUAUGGGCAAAUAUGGUUUUAAUGUCAUCUGCAAAUGUGGCUUUAUGUCCUCCUGCUAGUUCUUAGGCCUGUGUCUUCUCUGUGAUGUCGUGAUCUAAUCUCUUUUCUGGCCCAACAGCCUAGCCCUCUACUCCAUAGCAGAAGCAACAGCUCAUAGGAGUCGGCUUCCCGGACAACUAGGUCUCAUCCUAAUGGGGGUUAUACUUGAAACUCCUCCGUUAAGUGUGGUGGUGGUUUGGCAUCAGUUUGGGUUGAGCCAGAUGACCGAAGCUGACUGGAACAUCACGUGGUCCAUCAGUACUGGACAGCCCGGCCCUUCCAGUUUCCUCAUAGCUUACAUUUGCAUUCCAGUUUAGCUGCUAUCUGACUUUACCUUGUGGGUUCAGAGAGGAGACUGCUGUUGCUAAGCCCUGCUGAGCAUCAUUUCUGGUGUGGCAGAGUUGACAAGCCACCUGCUUCUUCACUACUCCUGACUCAUCUCUGCAGAGCAGACCCACCUCACUUCUUGGACAUCACUAAAGAAUGUUCUGGUAAGUAAAUUUUUCAGGAUUCAAAGCUUACUGCUCAGAACAGUCAAAUUUAGAAACCUGGAACUAUUUUGCCCAUUAAUCUUUUUGGUUUUUGAGAUGGAGUCUUGCUCUUGUUUCCCAGGCUGGAGUCCAGUGGCACAAUCUCGGCUUACUGCAACCUCCGCUUCCUGGGUUCAAGCAAUUCUCUUGUGCUAGCCUCCUGAGUAGCUGAGAUUACAGGUGCCUGCUACCACACCCAGCUACAUUUUAUGUUUUCAGUAAAGAUAAGAGUUUCAUCCUGUUGGUCAGGCUUGUCUUGAAUUACCGACCUCAGGUGAUCCACCUGCCUCCACCUCCCAAAGUGCUGGGUCCGUGCUGUGGUCAGGUCCAAGACAGGGCCCAGCCAAGUCUAGAGUGAUGGCCAGGGUAGGGUCAAACCUAGGGGAGGGCCAAGGCAAGGGCCAGGCCAGGGUGGUGCCAAGAUGAAGGCAAGGACAGGAAAUGGCCAGGGUAGGGACAGGACAAGGGCAAGGAUAGUGCAGGUUCCUGGCAUGGCCAGGAUCCAGGGACAGGGUGGGACCAGAUCAGAGCCAGCACAGGAGGAGGAUAGGACAUGGCCAAGACAGGGUCAGUUUGGGGCCUGUACAGCCCAGGUAAUGGUAAGGUUGGUCCAGGGCAGAGCACAGCAGGGCCAGGUACAAGACAGAGCAGGUUUAGGGUAGGGCCAGGCUGAAUGCGAAGGCCACACUCAGAGCAGAUUUAUGGCAAGGGCAAGACCACUGAAGGGCCACAGAGAAGGCAGGGCCAUGGAGGAGCCAAGACAAGGACAGGGCCAGAGCCAUAGCAUCACCAGCAACUGGGCUGUGGCUAGUGCAGUGACAGAGCCAGAGUCAGGGACAGAGCAGUGCAAGACCAGGGUAAGGCCAGGCAUUUCAGGGUCAGACAGGAUCAGGACCAGGGAAGAACCAGGGUAAGGCCUCAAGCAGGGCAGGGCCAGGACUAGGAUCUAGGUUAGUGCCAGGGCUGGGCCAUAACAGAGGGGCAAGGCCAAGCAAGGGCCUGAGUAGGGCCAGGGUAAGGUCAAAGCUAGGGCAGGACUAGGAUAGCACAGGGUUAAGGCAGGGCCAGUGAACGGCAAAGACACAGCUUCACCAGGGCAUGGUGAGGUCCAUGGCUUGAACAGAGCAGGGUCAGUGCCAUGCUAUAGCUAGGGAAGGUCCAGGGACAAGGCAUGGCUGCAUCAAGGACAGGACCAGUCCAAGUCCAGGUCCAGGGAAGGUCCAGAGCAAGGAGAGAGCCAGAGCAGAACCGUGAAAAGACAAAGGCAGGUCCAGGGCAGAGUAUGGUAAGGGUAGGACCAGAGCAGAGCAGGACUAAGAUAGCACAGGGCCUGGCCAAAAGCAGGGGAGGUCCAUUGCAUGGGAGGACUAGCAGUAGGGCCAGGGAAAACACUGGGCUCAGGACAUGGCAGGGCCAGGGCAGAGGAGGGCAGUGCAGGGACAGGAUUAUAUCAUGGACAGAGUAGGCCUGGCAUUGUCAUCCCAGGGCAGGGCCAGGGCAAGUCUGAUAAGAAGGCAGGACCAGGACCAAGACAGAGCCAGGGAAGAGCAGGACCAUUGCAGGUUGAGGGCAAGACCAGAGUUUGCAGGGGCAGGGCUAUGGCAGAUCAGGACCAGGUUAAGGGUUGGACCAGGUCCAGGAAUAUCAUAGGGCCAGGGCCAGUUCAGGGCAAGACAGGGAAGUACUAGAAUGAGGCCAUAGGGCAGGGCAAGU